ACGUAGGAUCCAAGCGUUGUCCGGAAUUAUUGGGCAUAAAGGGUGCGUAGGUGGCCUUGUGCGCGAGAGGUGAAAUCUACGGGCUUAACUCGUAGGGGGCUUGCGAACUGGAAGACUUGAGUGCAGGAGAGGAAAGUGGAAUUCCUUGUGUAGCGGUGAAAUGCGUAGAUCUUAGGAGGAGCACCAGUGGCGAAGGCGACUUACUGGAUUGUAACUGACACUGAGGCACGAAAGCGUGGGGAGCAAACAG
RNAcentral lists this ribosomal RNA (250 nucleotides) under uncultured prokaryote. RNAcentral's name for it is "partial 16S rRNA". It matches the Rfam family "Bacterial small subunit ribosomal RNA", at positions 525 to 775 of the family's 1533-position model. The record is from RNAcentral.